RNAcentral lists this RNase P RNA (416 nucleotides) under Spirochaetaceae bacterium. Its description in RNAcentral is "RNase P RNA component class A". It matches the Rfam family "Bacterial RNase P class A". Rfam says of the family: Ribonuclease P (RNase P) is a ubiquitous endoribonuclease, found in archaea, bacteria and eukarya as well as chloroplasts and mitochondria. Its best characterised activity is the generation of mature 5'-ends of tRNAs by cleaving the 5'-leader elements of precursor-tRNAs. The record is from RNAcentral. Lineage: Bacteria; Pseudomonadati; Spirochaetota; Spirochaetia; Spirochaetales; Spirochaetaceae.
GGCGAUGAAUCAGUUGUCGCGGUAAGGCUAUUUUUCGUAAAAGAAUAGUUUUUAUUGAGGAAAGUCCGGGCUCCGCAGGGCAUGGUGCCGGGUAAUACCCGGGCGCAAACGUUCAGUUUGCGACAGAAAGUGCAACAGAAAAUAAACCGCCUCAAGACUACCGAGCAGUCUGCGGUAAAAAGAUUUUACCAAAAGUCUUGCACGGGAGAGGCUAAGGGUGAAAUGGCGUGGUAAGAGCACACCGCGGAGCCGGUAACGGUUCCGGCAGGGCAAACCUCACUUUGGAGCAAAGUCAAGCAGCGGCAGAAUUGCCCGUUUGUAAUGCCGCGGGUAGACUGCGUAGACGCCGCCUGUAAAGACGGUGCAAGAUAGAUGACAACAUAAAACAGAACCCGGCUUAUGGUUCAUCGCCUUUU